GACGUAGGGCGCAAGCGUUGUCCGGAUUUAUUGGGCGUAAAGAGCUCGUAGGCGGCUUGUUGCGUCGUCCGUGAAAACCUGUGGCUCAACUACAGGCUUGCGGUCGAUACGGGCGGGCUGGAGUUCGGUAAAAGAGACUGGAAUUCCUGGUGUAGCGGUGAAAUGCGCAGAUAUCGGGAGGAACACCAAUAGCGAAGGCAGCUCGCUGGGACGUUACUGACACUGAGGCGCGAAAGCGUGGGGAGCGAACAGG
Molecule: ribosomal RNA, 253 nt
Filed under: uncultured bacterium
Lineage: Bacteria
Description: partial 16S ribosomal RNA
Rfam family: Bacterial small subunit ribosomal RNA
Source: RNAcentral